CCUACGGGGGGCAGCAGUGAGGAAUAUUGGUCAAUGGGCGGGAGCCUGAACCAGCCAAGUCGCGUGAGGGAAGACGGUCCUAUGGAUUGUAAACCUCUUUAGGCGGGGAGCAAUGCCGGGCACGUGUGCCCGGAGGGAGAGUACCCGCAGAAUAAGCAUCGGCUAACUCCGGGCCAGCAGCCGCGGUAAUACGGGGGAUGCGAGCGUUAGCCGGAUUUAUGGGGUUAACAGGGUGCAUAGGCGGAGUUUUAAGUCAGCGGUAAAAUGUCCGGGCUAAACAUGGGCCGGCCGUUGAAACUGGGGAUCUUGAGUGGGCGAGAAGUAUGCGGAAUGCGUGGUGUAGCGGUGAAAUGCAUAGAUAUCACGCAGAACUCCGAUUGCGAAGGCAGCAUACCGGCGCCCGACUGACGCUGAGGCACGAAAGCGUGGGGAUCGAACAGGAUUAGAUACCCUAGUAGUC
RNAcentral lists this ribosomal RNA (460 nucleotides) under uncultured bacterium. RNAcentral describes it as "partial 16S ribosomal RNA". It matches the Rfam family "Bacterial small subunit ribosomal RNA", at positions 338 to 795 of the family's 1533-position model. The record is from RNAcentral.